Molecule: small RNA, 550 nt
Filed under: Pongo abelii (Sumatran orangutan)
Lineage: Eukaryota; Metazoa; Chordata; Mammalia; Primates; Hominidae
Description: processed transcript
Source: RNAcentral
CCCUCCCCUCUCCCAUCGCAGCCCUCUCCCUAAGAAAUUUGUUUUGAGGGAUUUGACAAUCUUGCAGAUAAAGUGCCUGCCUCCUGCACUCGGUUGAUCAUUUUCCCUCAUGGCUGACCGUAAUUUCUUUGCUACUCUUAGCGGCAGCUCUGUCCCUGCUGCCCAAGUCGAACAAAGUGCCAGUGGUGCAGCACCCUCACCAUGUCCACCCCCUCACGCCUCUUAUCACGUACAGCAAUGAACACUUCACGCCGGGAAACCCACCUCCACACUUACCAGCCGACGUAGACCCCAAAACAGGAAUCCCACGGCCUCCGCACCCUCCAGAUAUAUCCCCGUAUUACCCACUAUCGCCUGGCACCGUAGGACAAAUCCCCCAUCCGCUAGGAUGGUUAGUACCACAGCAAGGUCAACCAGUGUACCCAAUCACGACAGGAGGAUUCAGACACCCCUACCCCACAGCUCUGACCGUCAAUGCUUCCAUGUCCAGGUUCCCUCCCCAUAUGGUCCCACCACAUCAUACGCUACACACGACGGGCAUUCCGCAUCC